RNAcentral lists this unclassified non-coding RNA (305 nucleotides) under uncultured fungus. RNAcentral describes it as "partial contains 5.8S ribosomal RNA and internal transcribed spacer 2". The stretch from base 1 to 133 matches the Rfam family "5.8S ribosomal RNA", at positions 22 to 154 of the family's 154-position model. Lineage: Eukaryota; Fungi. The record is from RNAcentral.
UGGUUCUGGCAUCGAUGAAGAACGCAGCGAAAUGCGAUAAGUAAUGUGAAUUGCAGAAUUCAGUGAAUCAUCGAAUCUUUGAACGCACAUUGCGCCCUCUGGUAUUCCGGGGGGCAUGCCUGUUCGAGCGUCAUUAUGACCAAUCACGCAAGUGGUAUUGGGGCUUGCCGUCGGCAUCCCUUAAAACUAGUGGCAGUGCUAUAGGCUCUCAGCGCAGUAAUUAUUUCGCUCUUGAGUCCUAGACACAUCCGCCAAAACCCCAACUUUCUUAGGUUGACCUCGGAUCAGGUAGGGAUACCCGCUGA